GACGAACGCUGGCGGCGUGCCUAAUACAUGCAAGUUGAGCGCUGAAGGUUGGUACUUGUACCGACUGGAUGAGCAGCGAACGGGUGAGUAACGCGUGGGGAAUCUGCCUUUGAGCGGGGGACAACAUUUGGAAACGAAUGCUAAUACCGCAUAAAAACUUUAAACACAAGUUUUAAGUUUGAAAGAUGCAAUUGCAUCACUCAAAGAUGAUCCCGCGUUGUAUUAGCUAGUUGGUGAGGUAAAGGCUCACCAAGGCGAUGAUACAUAGCCGACCUGAGAGGGUGAUCGGCCACAUUGGGACUGAGACACGGCCCAAACUCCUACGGGAAGCAGCAGGAGGGAAUCUUCGGCAAUGGACGAAAGUCUGACCGAGCAACGCCGCGGGAGUGAAGAAGGGUUUCGGAUCGGAAAACUCUGUUGGUAGGGAAGAACGUUGGUGAGAGUGGAAAGCUCAUCAAGUGACGGUAACUACCCAGAAAGGGACGGCUAACUACGUG
RNAcentral lists this ribosomal RNA (497 nucleotides) under uncultured bacterium. Its description in RNAcentral is "partial 16S ribosomal RNA". It matches the Rfam family "Bacterial small subunit ribosomal RNA", at positions 28 to 507 of the family's 1533-position model. The record is from RNAcentral.